Non-coding RNA from Triticum aestivum (bread wheat), 125 nucleotides. The record is from Rfam. Lineage: Eukaryota; Viridiplantae; Streptophyta; Magnoliopsida; Poales; Poaceae.
ACAGUACUCCCUCGGUCCGAAAAUACUUGUCGCACAAAUAGAUAAAAUUAUAUGUAUCUAGAACUAAUAUAUGUCUAGAUACAUCCAUUUUCCUGACAAGUAUUCUCAGACGGAGGGAGUACAUU